AGGGCGCACGGUGGAUGCCUUGGCAGAAUCAGGCGAUGAAGGACGUGGCAAGCUGCGAUAAGCUUCGGGGAGCCGCACACAGGCGUUGAUCCGGAGAUUUCCGAAUGGGGAAACCCACAUGAGUGAAAACUCAUGUAUGUCCAACUGAAUACAUAGGUUGGAACAGGCGAACGGGGGGAAGUGAACCAUCUCAGUACCCCCAGGAAGAGAAAGAAACCUCGAUUCCGAGAGUAGUGGCGAGCGAAAUCGGAUAAGCCCAAACCCGUUUUAUUUCGGUAACACGGGGGUUGUAGGGCCUGCAACAGUAGAGUUACCAAUCCAGUAGGUAGUCAAAGUCUCUGGGAAGAGACCCCAUAGAGCGUGACAGGCGCGUAGACAAAACUUAUCUGGACUCGAAGCAGGUACCUGAGUAAGGCGGGGCACGAGAAACCCUGCUUGAAUCCACGGGGACCAUCCCGUAAGGCUAAAUACUCGAUUCUGACCGAUAGUGAACCAGUACCGUGAGGGAAAGGCGAAAAGCACCCCAUUGAGGGGAGUGAAAAGUACCUGAAACCGUGUGCCUACAAGCAGUGGGAGGACUAUGCCCGUAAGGGAAUGUCUGACCGCGUGCCUAUUGCAUAAUGAGCCGGCUAGUUAUUCUUGUCAGCAAGGUUAAGCGUGAGCGAGCCGCAGCGAAAGCGAGUCUGAAUAGGGCGUUAAGUUGGCAGGAAUAGACGCGAAGCGGGAUGAUCUACCCUUGGCCAGGUUGAAGAUGGGGUAACACCCAUUGGAGGACCGAACCGGUGUUUGUUGAAAAAAGCUCGGAUGAGCUGAGGGUAGGGGUGAAAGGCUAAUCAAAUUCCGUGAUAGCUCGUUCUCUCCGAAAUAGCUUUAGGGCUAGCCUCGGGUGAUUUGGAUUGGUGGUAGAGACAUGAUUGGACUAGGGGGCUUUCCGGCUUACUGAAUCCAGCCAAACUUCGAAUGCCAAUCACAACCAGCCCGGGAGUCAGACUGUGGGGGCUAAGCUUCACAGUCGAGAGGAAAACAGUCCAGACCGCCUGCUAAGGUCCCCAAAUUACAGUUAAGUGGGAAAGGAAGUCGGAACGCUCAGACAGCCAGGAGGUUGGCUUAGAAGCAGCCAUCCUUUAAAGAAAGCGUAAUAGCUCACUGGUCAAGCGGUCCGGUGCCGACAAUACAACGGGGCUAAAACUGUAUACCGAAGCAGCGGAUGCACACAUAAGUGUGCGUGGUAGGAGAGCAUUCUCGCGGCAAUGAAGUCAGACUGAGAAGACUGAUGGAGUUUCGAGAAGAGACCCUGCCGGCAUAAGUAGCGAUAAUCAGUGUGAGAACCACUGACGCCGAAAGUCUAAGGUUUCCUGAGGAAGGUUAAUCCGCUCAGGGUUAGGCGGUCCCUAAGCUGAGGCCGAAAGGCGUAAGCGAUGGAUUUCCGGUUAAUAUUCCGGACCUCCCAAUAUCUCGUUAUUACGAUGGGGUGACACAGAAGGAUAAGCAGGCCCUCCUAUGGCUAUGAGGGUUGAUACACGUAAGCUGGUUUCGAUAGGCAAAUCCGUCGAGGCUUAACAGUGAGGUGUAAAACAGUAAGUCGUAUGACUGAAAGCUGCUGAGUUCACGCUGUCAAGAAAAACCUCUAAGGAGAGAGAUUGGGAACCGUACCCCAAACCGACACAGGUAGACGAGGAGAAUAUCCAAAGGCGCUCGAGUGAAGACUUGUUAAGGAACUCGGCAAAUUAGACCCGUAACUUCGGGAGAAGGGUCACCACAGUAGGGUUUAUAGCCCGAAGUGGUCGCAGUGAAACGCGUACGGCGACUGUUUAACAAAAACACAGGUCUCUGCAAAGUCUAAAACGACGUAUAGGGGCUGACUCCUGCCCGGUGCUGGAAGGUUAAAAGGAGGGGUUAGCGCAAGCGAAGCUCUGAAUUGAAGCCCCAGUGAACGGCGGCCGUAACUAUAACGGUCCUAAGGUAGCGAAAUUCCUUGUCGGGUAAGUUCCGACCUGCACGAAUGGAGUAACGAUCGUACGACUGUCUUAACGAGUUGCUCGGCGAACUUGUAGUACCGGUGAAGAUGCCGGUUACCCGCAGCUAGACGAAAAGACCCCGUGCACCUUUACUAUACUUUUACUGUGGGUUACGGCAAUUGCUGCGCAGGAUAGGUGGGAGGCUUUGAUCCCGGGCUUUCGGGUUCGGAGGAGCCAACGGUGAGAUACCACCCUGCGAUUGUUGUGACUCUAACCUCCUCCCCUGAUCGGGGAGAGGGACAUAG
RNAcentral lists this ribosomal RNA (2263 nucleotides) under plant metagenome. RNAcentral's name for it is "bacterial LSU rRNA". It matches the Rfam family "Bacterial large subunit ribosomal RNA", at positions 14 to 2256 of the family's 2925-position model. The record is from RNAcentral.